This 82-nucleotide transfer RNA is filed under the name Pseudomonadota bacterium. RNAcentral's name for it is "Proteobacteria bacterium tRNA-Leu". It matches the Rfam family "tRNA". From Rfam's summary of the family: Transfer RNA (tRNA) molecules are approximately 80 nucleotides in length. Their secondary structure includes four short double-helical elements and three loops (D, anti-codon, and T loops). Further hydrogen bonds mediate the characteristic L-shaped molecular structure. tRNAs have two regions of fundamental functional importance: the anti-codon, which is responsible for specific mRNA codon recognition, and the 3' end, to which the tRNAs corresponding amino acid is attached (by aminoacyl-tRNA synthetases). tRNAs cope with the degeneracy of the genetic code in two manners: having more than one tRNA (with a specific anti-codon) for a particular amino acid; and 'wobble' base-pairing, i.e. permitting non-standard base-pairing at the 3rd anti-codon position. Lineage: Bacteria; Pseudomonadati; Pseudomonadota. The record is from RNAcentral. RNAcentral also lists the same sequence under 1 other name.
GCUUGGCUGGUGGAAUUGGUAGACACGCAGGUCUCAGAAGCCUGUGGGGCAACCCGUGGGAGUUCAAGUCUCCCGCCGAGCA